GUGAAUCAUCAAAUCUUUGAACGCAAAUUGCACUCCCUGGUAUUCCGGGGAGCAUGCCUGUUUGAGGGUCGUUAGAAGAAAAAUCGAAGCAUCGCCCUUUUCUGGAGGGGGAUCGCGUCGGAAUUGAGCAGUCUUUCAAAUGUUAAAUCUUGUACAAGUGGCUUAAAAUUAAUCUAUCCGGUUCGAUUAAAGGGUAUUUAAGAUCACUUUUGAUUAAGACUGCGCGAU
RNAcentral lists this unclassified non-coding RNA (228 nucleotides) under Glomeraceae sp. RNAcentral's name for it is "partial contains 5.8S ribosomal RNA and internal transcribed spacer 2". The stretch from base 1 to 71 matches the Rfam family "5.8S ribosomal RNA", at positions 84 to 154 of the family's 154-position model. The record is from RNAcentral. Lineage: Eukaryota; Fungi; Glomeromycota; Glomeromycetes; Glomerales; Glomeraceae.